RNAcentral lists this ribosomal RNA (395 nucleotides) under uncultured Glomus. RNAcentral describes it as "SSU rRNA". It matches the Rfam family "Eukaryotic small subunit ribosomal RNA", at positions 569 to 971 of the family's 1831-position model. The record is from RNAcentral. Lineage: Eukaryota; Fungi; Glomeromycota; Glomeromycetes; Glomerales; Glomeraceae.
AGCAGCCGCGGUAAUUCCAGCUCCAAUAGCGUAUAUUAAAGUUGCUGCAGUUAAAAAGCUCGUAGUUGAAUUUCGGGACCAAUAUGUCGGUCGUGCCUCGGUACGUACUGGCAUCGUUGGUUUCUCCCUUCUGACGAACCAUGAUGUCAUUCAUUUGGUGUCGUGGGGAAUCAGGACUGUUACUUUGAAAAAUUAGAGUGUUUAAAGCAGGCUCACGCUUGAAUACAUUAGCAUGGAAUAAUGAAAUAGGACGUUUGAUUCUAUUUUGUUGGUUUCUAGGAUCGACGUAAUGAUUAAUAGGGAUAGUUGGGGCAUUAGUAUUCGAUUGUCAGAGGUGAAAUUCUUGGAUUUAUUGAAGACUAACUACUGCGAAAGCAUUUGCCAAGGAUGUUUUC